UUGAUAGAAUUGGGAGAGACUGUAUGUGGUAUACGGCGCCGAAGGGGAUUCGCAAUAACUCUCAGGCAAAAGGACCAAUUCCGGACG
Molecule: non-coding RNA, 87 nt
Filed under: Anaerocolumna xylanovorans
Lineage: Bacteria; Bacillati; Bacillota; Clostridia; Lachnospirales; Lachnospiraceae
Also listed under: 1 other name
Description: Glycine sequence
Rfam family: Glycine riboswitch aptamer
About the family: This family represents the bacterial glycine riboswitch. Glycine riboswitches usually consist of two metabolite-binding aptamers domains with similar structures in tandem. The aptamers cooperatively bind glycine to regulate the expression of downstream genes.
Source: RNAcentral